RNAcentral lists this ribosomal RNA (519 nucleotides) under uncultured bacterium. Its description in RNAcentral is "bacterial SSU rRNA". It matches the Rfam family "Archaeal small subunit ribosomal RNA", at positions 345 to 866 of the family's 1478-position model. The record is from RNAcentral.
AAACUUCACACUGGGGGCAACCCCGAUGAGGGAAUUCCUAGUGCUUGGGCAUUUGUCCAAGCUUUUCCCGAGCGUAGAUAACUCGGGGAAUAAGGGCUGGGUAAGACGGGUGCCAGCCGCCGCGGUAAUACCUGCAGCCCGAGUGGUGGUCGAUUUUAUUGAGUCUAAAGCGUUCGUAGCCGGUCCGUUAAAUCCUUGGGUAAAUCGGGAAGCUCAACUUUCCGACUUCCGAGGAGACUGGCGGACUUGGGACCGGGAGAGGCCAGAGGUACUUCUGGGGUAGGGGUAAAAUCCUGUAAUCCUAGAAGGACCACCGGUGGCGAAGGCGUCUGGCUAGAACGGAUCCGACGGUGAGGGACGAAGCCCUGGGUCGCAAACGGGAUUAGAUACCCCGGUAGUCCAGGGUGUAAACGCUGCCGACUUGGUGUUGGGGGCCCUUCGUGGGAACUCAGUGCCGGAGAGAAGUUGUUAAGUCGGCCACUUGGGAGUACGUCCGCAAGGAUGAAACUUAAAGGAAUU